Molecule: ribosomal RNA, 466 nt
Filed under: uncultured bacterium
Lineage: Bacteria
Description: partial 16S ribosomal RNA
Rfam family: Bacterial small subunit ribosomal RNA
Source: RNAcentral
GAUGAACGCUGGCGGCGUGCUUAACACAUGCAAGUCGAACGGAAAGGCCCAAGCUUGCUUGGGUACUCGAGUGGCGAACGGGUGAGUAACACGUGGGUGAUCUGCCCUGCACUUCGGGAUAAGCCUGGGAAACUGGGUCUAAUACCGGAUAGGACCACAUUUUGGAUGGUGUGGUGGAAAGUUUUUCGGUGUGGGAUGAGCUCGCGGCCUAUCAGCUUGUUGGUGGGGUAAUGGCCUACCAAGGCGUCGACGGGUAGCCGGCCUGAGAGGGUGUACGGCCACAUUGGGACUGAGAUACGGCCCAGACUCCUACGGGAGGCAGCAGUGGGGAAUAUUGCACAAUGGGCGCAAGCCUGAUGCAGCGACGCCGCGUGGGGGAUGACGGCCUUCGGGUUGUAAACUCCUUACGCUAGGGACGAAGCGUUAUGUGACGGUACCUGGAGAAGAAGCACCGGCUAACUACGUG